Molecule: long non-coding RNA, 1664 nt
Organism: Mytilus trossulus (common blue mussel)
Lineage: Eukaryota; Metazoa; Mollusca; Bivalvia; Mytilida; Mytilidae
Exons: 3
Source: RefSeq, a predicted model, not a curated record
UAUUUUUAUGAAUAUUCAUUAGGGUUUUACUUGAAUCAUUGUAUCUGAUUGGCUGUUAAUAUUUCGCGGUCAAGUUUAAUUUCCUUUGUUUUGUACCUGUACAUUUCCACGGACGAUAGCCAUGACAGUCCAUUGAAUUUAUGUCUGUUUAUCUUGACCACAUAGUUUACCUGUAAACCUUAUAUAUUUUGGACAACAUUAUUAUAGAAUACUGAAUCCAUGUAAUGUAAUUAUGUAGAGAACAUGAUUGUUGUUUAUAUGAUGUGCCGUUAACCGUAUCAGUACAACUCACUCCACAAGUGACUUGUUUUAUAUACUGGUAAUAAAUCAUCAGAACCCUUAGCUCUUGUUGGUGUUAUCGUUAACGCAUAGAAAACCACCUACUACAAAUGGCGCCCACGUUUCGUUGGGUUGAUGGCACAUACCAGUUUUUGUGGAGAUCCAGAUGUGAAGUCAGUGACCACCAUUAGAUGUCUCGAGUCCAUGUAUGCAGUGACCAUGUGUGUUUGUUUACUUCCGUUAUGGUACCAUGUGAUGAACUUUACCACGUGCUUAUGUUUACUAACAUUCCAACCCAUGUGAUAAUCGUCCACGUGCGUUUGUUUACAGUUUACCGGAUGACAUUAUAGUACCGGAUGUUACUUAUAGUAACUUGACUUUUUGUUUUCAUUUUUGGAAAACUGAACUUUUAUUAUUCUACAUUGUGAAAUAUUGUGAUUCAAUUAUACUUUUGUGGAACAGUGUAAUUAUUGGAAUAGUUUUCUAGUUUAAGGUAGGAUUUAUUUAUUUACAUUAUAUACUGUAUACCAUUUUGAUACAUUGAAACUUAGCAUACACUUGAAACAUUUACACAUUUCGAAUUUAAUUUUGAAAUUUUGCAUCCACUUUUUGGACUUUAAAUAUUUUUUUUUGACGUCCUACAUUUUGACCUUUUCAUACUUAAACAUUUAUACACAUUAAAAAAAAUUUUUUUUUCAAUUUUUUUCCGAGGCUUACUUGGAUUUGGACUUAGUCUGUCAGAGGACAUGUACACUUAUAUUAUUUAGGCAUUCAUUUAUGGUGUACAUGUAUUACUGAUAGUGAUAAACAUACUUUGUAGAUUACAGUAGCAUAGCUACAUAGUAUAUAGCAUACACUUUUAUAUUUUAAAUUUAUUUUUCGGUAUACAGUUGUAGUGUAUUAUACUUACAUUGAACUAUAACCCACAUGGUAUAGGUCAAUGCUCAGUUGAACUUAGCAAUUAUAACACACAUUAUGUUUUAUGUGUAGCAUUGCUAGUUAAUAUUAGAUACAUAGUAUAUAUAUCGUUUUUAUAAAUGUACUUUGUAUAGUGACUUGGUACUUAAGUUGAUAUGAAUUAAAUUUAUCAUCAUAUUAUUUACAUAUUAGACAUUCACUGAGUUAGAUAGUACCUAGAUUUUGAGAUUGUUGAUAGACAUUGUUUAUUAUUUUUUAAUAUUGAUUAAAAAAUUUGCAUUUGAUCAUUUAGUGUGGUGGUGUUGACACUUGUUAGAUUUUUUCAUUAUUAUUGAACUUGAAUUAGGGUGAAUGAAUUGAAUGUUUAUAGGUACACUAGUUUACACCGUUUACCAUGUAUGAACAACCGAAUGAGCCAUGUUACAACGCAAUGUAUGACCAACCCUACAAUACCUACGACACUUUUG